AGUGAACGCUGGCGGUAGGCCUAACACAUGCAAGUCGAACGGCAGCACAGUAAGAGCUUGCUCUUACGGGUGGCGAGUGGCGGACGGGUGAGGAAUACAUCGGAAUCUACUUUUUCGUGGGGGAUAACGUAGGGAAACUUACGCUAAUACCGCAUACGACCUACGGGUGAAAGCAGGGGAUCUUCGGACCUUGCGCGAUUGAAUGAGCCGAUGUCGGAUUAGCUAGUUGGCGGGGUAAAGGCCCACCAAGGCGACGAUCCGUAGCUGGUCUGAGAGGAUGAACAGACACACUGGAACUGAGACACGGUCCAGACUCCUACGGGAGGCAGCAGUGGGGAAUAUUGGACAAUGGGCGCAAGCCUGAUCCAGCCAUACCGCGUGGGUGAAGAAGGCCUUCGGGUUGUAAAGCCCUUUUGUUGGGAAAGAAAAGCAGCAGGUUAAUACCCCGCUGUUCUGACGGUACCCAAAGAAUAAGCACCGGCUAACUUCGUG
This 492-nucleotide ribosomal RNA is filed under the name uncultured bacterium. RNAcentral's name for it is "partial 16S ribosomal RNA". It matches the Rfam family "Bacterial small subunit ribosomal RNA", at positions 29 to 507 of the family's 1533-position model. The record is from RNAcentral.